This 245-nucleotide ribosomal RNA is filed under the name uncultured bacterium. RNAcentral describes it as "partial 16S ribosomal RNA". It matches the Rfam family "Bacterial small subunit ribosomal RNA", at positions 524 to 767 of the family's 1533-position model. The record is from RNAcentral.
UACGAAGGGGGCUAGCGUUGUUCGGAUUUACUGGGCGUAAAGCGCACGUAGGCGGAUCUUUAAGUCAGGGGUGAAAUCCCGAGGCUCAACCUCGGAACUGCCUUUGAUACUGGGGAUCUCGAGUCCGGGAGAGGUGAGUGGAACUGCGAGUGUAGAGGUGAAAUUCGUAGAUAUUCGGAGGAACACCAGUGGCGAAGGCGGCCCCCUGGAGUCAAUACUGACGCUGAGGUGCGAAAGACGUGGGG